Ochotona princeps (American pika) is the source of this 193-nucleotide long non-coding RNA. RefSeq lists it as uncharacterized. Lineage: Eukaryota; Metazoa; Chordata; Mammalia; Lagomorpha; Ochotonidae. The record is from RefSeq and is a predicted model, not a curated record. The transcript has 3 exons.
UUACUGACACAGAUCCGUGAGAGCUCGAGAUGCUGCUCCCUGGCUCCCAUCUGAGAUUCCUCUGUCGAGUAUCACACCCACGAACUGAGCCACAGCCAUUUCCUUUGGCCUUGACACAGGCUUAGAAGAGCUACAGCAGCUGUAACUGACAAAGCUAUGGUUUCUGCAGGUGCCUGGUUAACACACCCUCAUG